Molecule: transfer RNA, 69 nt
Filed under: Marmota monax (woodchuck)
Lineage: Eukaryota; Metazoa; Chordata; Mammalia; Rodentia; Sciuridae
Rfam family: tRNA
About the family: Transfer RNA (tRNA) molecules are approximately 80 nucleotides in length. Their secondary structure includes four short double-helical elements and three loops (D, anti-codon, and T loops). Further hydrogen bonds mediate the characteristic L-shaped molecular structure. tRNAs have two regions of fundamental functional importance: the anti-codon, which is responsible for specific mRNA codon recognition, and the 3' end, to which the tRNAs corresponding amino acid is attached (by aminoacyl-tRNA synthetases). tRNAs cope with the degeneracy of the genetic code in two manners: having more than one tRNA (with a specific anti-codon) for a particular amino acid; and 'wobble' base-pairing, i.e. permitting non-standard base-pairing at the 3rd anti-codon position.
Source: Rfam by way of RNAcentral
GGGACUGGGGCUCAGUGAUAGAGCACUCGCCUCACACGUGUGAGACCCUGGGUUCAAUCCUCAGUACCA